Molecule: transfer RNA, 67 nt
Filed under: Marmota monax (woodchuck)
Lineage: Eukaryota; Metazoa; Chordata; Mammalia; Rodentia; Sciuridae
Rfam family: tRNA
About the family: Transfer RNA (tRNA) molecules are approximately 80 nucleotides in length.
Source: Rfam by way of RNAcentral
GGUUGCAGCUCAGUGGUACAGUACUUGCCUAGCAUGCAGGAGGUUCUGGGUUCCAUUCCCAGAACCA